Molecule: ribosomal RNA, 468 nt
Filed under: uncultured bacterium
Lineage: Bacteria
Description: partial 16S ribosomal RNA
Rfam family: Bacterial small subunit ribosomal RNA
Source: RNAcentral
GACGAACGCUGGCGGCGUGCUUAACACAUGCAAGUCGAACGGAAAGGCCCUGCUUUUGUGGGGUGCUCGAGUGGCGAACGGGUGAGUAACACGUGAGUAACCUGCCCUUGACUUUGGGAUAACUUCAGGAAACUGGGGCUAAUACCGGAUAGGAGCUCCUGCUGCAUGGUGGGGGUUGGAAAGUUUCGGCGGUUGGGGAUGGACUCGCGGCUUAUCAGCUUGUUGGUGGGGUAGUGGCUUACCAAGGCUUUGACGGGUAGCCGGCCUGAGAGGGUGACCGACCACAUUGGGACUGAGAUACGGCCCAGACUCCUACGGGAGGCAGCAGUGGGGAAUAUUGCACAAUGGGCGGAAGCCUGAUGCAGCAACGCCGCGUGCGGGAUGACGGCCUUCGGGUUGUAAACCGCUUUCGCCUGUGACGAAGCGUGAGUGACGGUAAUGGGUAAAGAAGCGCCGGCUAACUACGUG